UUAUGGACAUUUUGGACUCCUAGACGAGCCAUGACAGUGUUGCUUGUGUGGUAGGGUGCUUGUGUACUGAUUCUUUUCCCUGCCCCGAAGCCUGCGUGGUGCUCUAGACGAUUUCCCACACCCGUCAGCCUUGAUGGGCAAUCAUCUGGCUACCGUGCUGGUUGGCUGGUGUGGUGAUUGUAGCUCGGAUAAGAGGCAGGGAGCGGCGGGACUGUGGGGGUGGAGUAGGGGAAAAAGCGAAGUCCUGCUGCCUGCUGACCGCUGUUUGCUGACCGCUGCCUGUGCUGACCGCUGCCUGUGCCGACCGCUGCUUGCUGACUGUGGCUGCCGACGAGGACGUUGAGCCGCUGUGGGCUAUCUACGCUAGACGAUCGCCACAGUAAAGGGAAGAGCUAUUUGUAUUCUUUUGUUAUUUCACAUGUCCAUGUAGCUCACGAUGGUGUUGGAAUUCCAGGCGGGUGCUGCCGGACGACGAGAUGGAGACUGAUCCGGAGGAGAGCCGCAGUUGAGUGACAACGCUAACUUGGAGUGCAUCAAAAGGGACGGUGAUAUUCCAACUCUGCAUCGUUGUGCGAGUGAGCGUCGCUGACACUGCUGGCUAGAGUGGUCUAAUGGCCUGUGUUUUGUCAACAGUUUCAGCCGGGACUCAGUGCUGCUUCUGCUUCCGUGGUUGACGACUCCACUGGCGUGCUGACGUGAACAUCGUGUCGCCGUGACGUCACCUUCAAGAACUAGGCUCACUGCCGAUCCGAUAGCGGACUACAUUUCCCAGAGGCCCCGGUGGUGAUUCGUGCUUAUGACUUUUGAAGUGCCUUAUGGUUCCGAGAUGGGAUUGACUACACGUGUGGUUUUGAGUGGCCAACCCUGAACAUGUCCGCCCCUAUAAGUUUUACCCUCCUGUCUAGAGUGGCGACCCAUGUGUUAUUACAUGAUAAAUAAAUCUGUAUUUUUA
Long non-coding RNA from Alosa sapidissima (American shad), 952 nucleotides. RefSeq lists it as uncharacterized. The transcript has 2 exons. NCBI's taxonomy places the organism in Eukaryota, Metazoa, Chordata, Actinopteri, Clupeiformes, Clupeidae. The record is from RefSeq and is a predicted model, not a curated record.